Molecule: ribosomal RNA, 1140 nt
Filed under: Salmonella enterica
Lineage: Bacteria; Pseudomonadati; Pseudomonadota; Gammaproteobacteria; Enterobacterales; Enterobacteriaceae
Description: partial 23S ribosomal RNA
Rfam family: Bacterial large subunit ribosomal RNA
Source: RNAcentral
UGGCUGCAACUGUUUAUUAAAAACACAGCACUGUGCAAACACGAAAGUGGACGUAUACGGUGUGACGCCUGCCCGGUGCCGGAAGGUUAAUUGAUGGGGUCAGCGCAAGCGAAGCUCCUGAUCGAAGCCCCGGUAAACGGCGGCCGUAACUAUAACGGUCCUAAGGUAGCGAAAUUCCUUGUCGGGUAAGUUCCGACCUGCACGAAUGGCGUAAUGAUGGCCAGGCUGUCUCCACCCGAGACUCAGUGAAAUUGAACUCGCUGUGAAGAUGCAGUGUACCCGCGGCAAGACGGAAAGACCCCGUGAACCUUUACUAUAGCUUGACACUGAACAUUGAGCCUUGAUGUGUAGGAUAGGUGGGAGGCUUUGAAGUGUGGACGCCAGUCUGCAUGGAGCCGACCUUGAAAUACCACCCUUUAAUGUUUGAUGUUCUAACGUGGACCCGUGAUCCGGGUUGCGGACAGUGUCUGGUGGGUAGUUUGACUGGGGCGGUCUCCUCCUAAAGAGUAACGGAGGAGCACGAAGGUUGGCUAAUCCUGGUCGGACAUCAGGAGGUUAGUGCAAUGGCAUAAGCCAGCUUGACUGCGAGCGUGACGGCGCGAGCAGGUGCGAAAGCAGGUCAUAGUGAUCCGGUGGUUCUGAAUGGAAGGGCCAUCGCUCAACGGAUAAAAGGUACUCCGGGGAUAACAGGCUGAUACCGCCCAAGAGUUCAUAUCGACGGCGGUGUUUGGCACCUCGAUGUCGGCUCAUCACAUCCUGGGGCUGAAGUAGGUCCCAAGGGUAUGGCUGUUCGCCAUUUAAAGUGGUACGCGAGCUGGGUUUAGAACGUCGUGAGACAGUUCGGUCCCUAUCUGCCGUGGGCGCUGGAGAACUGAGGGGGGCUGCUCCUAGUACGAGAGGACCGGAGUGGACGCAUCACUGGUGUUCGGGUUGUCAUGCCAAUGGCACUGCCCGGUAGCUAAAUGCGGAAGAGAUAAGUGCUGAAAGCAUCUAAGCACGAAACUUGCCCCGAGAUGAGUUCUCCCUGAGACUUUAGGUCUCCUGAAGGAACGUUGAAGACGACGACGUUGAUAGGCCGGGUGUGUAAGCGCAGCGAUGCGUUGAGCUAACCGGUACUAAUGAACCGUGAGGCUUAACCUU